UACUCGCGAAUGCUCUAGAUUAAAGUUUGAUCAUGGCUCAGACNUGAACGCUGGCGGCAGGCUUAACACAUGCAAGUCGAGCGGGGAAGGGUAGCUUGCUACCUGACCUAGCGGCGGACGGGUGAGUAAUGCUUAGGAAUCUGCCUGUUAGUGGGGGACAACAUCUCGAAAGGGAUGCUAAUACCGCAUACGUCCUACGGGAGAAAGCAGGGGAUCUUCGGACCUUGCGCUAAUAGAUGAGCCUAAGUCGGAUUAGCUAGUUGGUGGGGUAAAGGCCUACCAAGGCGACGAUCUGUAGCGGGUCUGAGAGGAUGAUCCGCCACACUGGGACUGAGACACGGCCCAGACUCCUACGGGAGGCAGCAGUGGGGAAUAUUGGACAAUGGGGGGAACCCUGAUCCAGCCAUGCCGCGUGUGUGAAGAAGGCCUUAUAGGUUGUAAAGCACUUUAAGCGAGGAGGAGGCUACUUUAGUUAAUACCUAGAGAUAGUGGACGUUACUCGCAGAAUAAGCACCGGCUAACUCUAGUGCCAGCAGCCGCGGUAAUAC
Molecule: ribosomal RNA, 548 nt
Filed under: uncultured bacterium
Lineage: Bacteria
Description: bacterial SSU rRNA
Rfam family: Bacterial small subunit ribosomal RNA
Source: RNAcentral